UGAAUGCUUCAAUGUCGUUGGCUAUGUCGUUCGUUCGUUGGAGCUUGUGGAUCCCUCACAGGGCAUCGCGUAAGGUUUCAGUCGAAUCUUGGGCGACUUGGCCUGACAGAAUCUUCGCUUCGAUCGCCAUAGCUGGCCACCACGACGACUAGGCCCAGGCCUGGCUGGGUGAGAGCCAGUUCCAGCCGCCGGCCCCACAUGCUCUCUCUCUCUCUCUCUCUCUCGCAUCUGGCGUUGCGUUGCGACCAUGAGGUAGACUACAGUAUGGUUAAGAGCGGGCUUGCGGGUGGAGAGAAUUGGGCUGUGUUCGAUCGAGGCUGAUGGUGCUGCAGUGGCUGGUGCCGUCGCUUUACGGAAAGGGGCUGGUGCCGGGGAUGCGUAGGUUUGUAGGCUUUGGAGCAAUGAGGCUUUGAUUUUACGAUCUGGCAGGGACGAUCGAUUGUUGGAAUCUAGCAGCGAGACGAUGGGAUAUACGAGGAAGCAUCACAUCUAGUGGUGAGGGUAGAGGAUUGCAUUCGCCACUGGAAAUGGAUCCCCUCCCUGGAGGAUUGAAUGUUGAAAUGGCUUCCGGAUUGAUCACAGAUCGUGUGAGCGCUGGAAUGCCAAGUUCGAUGUUCUUCAUCGCAUCAAUCAGCACCACUAAACCAUUCGCAUUCAGAGUAAGUGAAGCACUAUGCCAUCUCAGCGGCAGAAACUAAAGAGGCGAACUUGCACGCACGUAAUUUUGAAGCGAGGUCGUCUUACCAAAGUGUGCGAAUGGGACAUUAAUAAACGACUGUUUCACCCUCCAUUUUUGCCGCUUCUCGGCAUUCUCUCAAACGGCGAUCGAAGAGGUAACUCCUUUGCACGGAACGGCCCGAGACGGUUCUGUCUGUAGUUCAUUUCAGGCCCGGAAACUGAUCGGAUUUCUGAGGAGCCAUAGAUUGUUCCAUUUGGGGUGGGGAUUCCUCAAAAUUGGAUAAAAGCACGACAUUGCUAUCUAGCUUUUCUUUGCCGCAACAGUGGUGGGGUAAAUUUGGACUAGGAUUCUUUUGAAGACGGUGGUUGUGUUUAUAUUUGGGUUUUGAUUGCAUUAGGAAUUGGUCCUUUCCUUACCUCUUCUUACACUCCAAGUCGCAUUCUCAGUGCCUUCCGCAGCCUCUCUUAUAUAUUUCAGUUCAGCUUAAUCUACAAAAUGGUGGAACUGACACGAUAUCAGCAUGGUCUACCAACGAUUCCAAUUUUAAAAUCUCCAUUUACAACUUGAAGCUCCUCUCCAUGUAGUAUGAAAUUAUUCCGAUAGAACAGAAAGUACGCUAAUUGUUUAAAUUAACUGUCUUCUUUAUUCACAGAAAAAUAAGCAUACAUUUUAGGCAACAGAAUUUGGUGAAAUGAGAUGCAGGGACCCUCUGCUCCUGAAGACAUCCUGGGUUCUUUCUCUCUUUCUUUCUUUCUUUCUUCAGGAUAUGCAAGUAGUGUGAUAUGGAAACAGGAGUGUAGGGCGUAAGGAAUCCAACCGGGUGAGCAGGUGCUAUCCCCAAGCAUGACAGAACAACCAAAAACAUUUGAUUUGUGUGGGACAUUUACGCUUAAUGCAGCAAGUCUUAGAAUUGGGUGCUCAAAGUCACUACUGGAUUGGACAGGAUUCGUUUCUUCUAGGUUGAAGAAAAACCCAGUGACGAAGGCGAUGAUUUUUGAGCCAGGAUUUGGAAGAAGAGGGGAACCAAGGCACGAAUGGUUUAUCCGCAGUGACAAGAGUAUUUCAAGUAUCUUGCGUGAGCUUCAAAGUUGAUGUCGAUCACAGCGAGAAUUCUCUGGCAAAUCAAUGGAGUAUUCUGAGGAACUGAAUUCUUUCAAAAUGGAGCGUGAGAGUGUAGUCUCGAGUAGCAAGCCAAGCAAUCUAGCCGAGAAUCUAUUCCAAUCGAUGAAGACGGCACGUACACUAGACUACGGUCUUCAGCUGAUGGACGAUUCCAAAAUGUUGCGCAGAAUCUUAAAGAGUGAGAUUUACAAUCGGGAGUAUUCAAUGAGGAGCUGCAGCGUAGACAAAGCUAGUGGAGCCGAACAUGUGCAGCGGACUGGAUCAAAGGAUCGAGAAAAGAAAACAGGAAACGGGGAGGAGCAAAGCUCGUAUGCCUUCGCGGAUUCAUACAACGGAGACGAAGAAUAUGACUACAUAGUGGAGGUGCCAGAGGAGGACGACGUUGAGGUUUACGAAGACAACCAGUCGGAGAUAUGGCCGCCGCCGCUCAACUCCGAACGGGAUUUACAGCUGCUUCGACCCCCCGCGAGACUGGAAGCAAUGCAAUCUGUGGAGCGAGAGUGGGUGCACAAGCUGUACGCUGCUAUGAACGAUUGCCUGUUCUUGUGCAGUCGACUUAAGAAUGCGCAGAACCAGGUGACGAUCUACCACUCGCAAGUGUCUCAUCUCACCAAGUGUUACUUCAUGGCGGAGGAGAAUUUCCAGAGGUACCAGACGAGGAUUGAGCGAGCUGUGGAGCAUCCGAAUUGGGCAUUCGAGCAGAGCUUUCGGAUAGGUUCGGAGGCGAUGUCGUUCUGCAUCGAUUCUCUAGUGCAGCUCCGGCAUGUCAUGCACGACGGGGAGAUGCUCGCCACGCAGUGCUGUCGUCAAGAUUGGUGGCGGAUGGCGCUCACACUCCCCUGCACGGGCCCCAACUUCCCCCGGUUCAGAUCCAUGUCGCCAUUCGCGUUCAACAUCCGAGAAUUUGUGUGGAGCCUCAACGUUGUGGAGUUCGCGUUUCAUAUCUGGCGCAAUGGCCCGCCCAUAUACACGACCUCGCUUUUGAGCUCGGCAUUCAGCCACUGGGCGACGGAGGAGCGGCACAUCCGGUACACUUAUCUGUACUCGUUGAAAGCAGACGAGGAGAGAGAAGCUAGUGACAAGAGGGUCAUGUGCUUGACGCUGCGGUACAUCGUGAAUGCUACUUGGUAUAACCCCAUCGAAGAGGAGCCCGAUCGCUAUGUCUUCGAGGUUUUGAUGCUGAAGCUUGAGGGGCCGGAACUAACCCCCAAUCUCGCCCCUGACUCGUUCUGGAUCGACCAAUACCAACUGGAGCUUUACGACACCAUCGGUCAGGGGAGCUUAGGUGUUGUCUUGAAGUGCAAGUGGUUCGGGGAGUGUGUGGCGGUGAAAGUGCUCACCGGGGGUAUCGAUCCGGUGGUGCUCGAAGCUGAGGCUGCACUUGUUGCUGGCGUGCAGCACCCCAACAUUGUGAAGCUUAUCGGAUGUGCUUACAACCAGGAACGGAGAGCUGGGAUGUUCGUGAUGGAAGUCGUGGGGCGGGAUCUACGCACGCUCAUUGAGCUCCGUAACAUGAACUUCCAGAACAGAUCACCCCCUUUCUCUUUGUUGCAAUCUGUUGAGAUUAUGUUGCAGAUUGCGGAGGCUCUCCAGUACUUGAAGGAUUGCAAGCUGAUGCAUAAAGACGUGCGGGCGCGGAAAGUGCUGAUCAGGCUCUGUGAAGCCGGAGAGGCUUCAGCUCCGAGCUGGGAGUACUUCCACGUGAAGCUCGCGGAUGUUGGGUUGGCGAAGUUUAAGCUGGAAAUGCUGCAGGCGAGCUCAUUCCAAACAGAAGCAUGUCGAUGGCGAGCUCCGGAGGUAUUCCGCGACGAGGAGAUGAUAGAGAAGUACUCAUGGCCGGCAGACGUGUACAGCUUCGCCAUGACGUGCUACGAAAUCCUCACCGGGGAGGUGCCCUUCCAAGGCGUUCCUCUCAACGAGGUGUAUUUAAAAUUAUGCGCCGGAGAGCGUCCAGAGCUCCCCGCUCACUGUCCGCCUUACAUUGCCAAGUACAUUGCGAAGUGCUGGGCCAGUAACCCUAAUGAGCGACCCGAAUUUUCUGAAAUUUGUGAGCAUCUGCGACAUUGGAAGUGCAUGCUGCUCCUCAGGAAAUCCAUCCCGGCCGUCCAGCCCGCAGGCAAGCUCACCGGCAACAUCAUUGGCAAACCUUGGGAGUCUUGACACUCUGUGUAUACUCCUCCAAGUAAAUCCCCAAUCCCCGGUAUGAGUUUUCAUCACCGCAAAAGCCCACAUUUCUCCGAGACUCAUCUUGCUUCACUCCAAUGAAGGGAUAUAACCACUUUUGGAGCUUCCUUUUCUGCUCACAUUUGCAGAUUGAUAAGCGGUAAUGACGAGGAAUUCAAUGCAGGAAAAAAUGCUUUGUUCAUAGCUGGAUUCAUCAUGGAUCAAGUUCGUCGCAAGAGGACAACCUUAGCAGGGCUUCGAAAACUGGCACGACUCCACUUCGUACCUUGAUGUGAAGAGACCACUCUAUGCACCUUUCAAAGCCAUACAUGGUGACUUGGGUCAACAAGGAAGAUGCCCGUUUCUUCAGUGUCACAUUUAUCAUGAAUAAGUUGGUAUUCUAACAUCUCACACAUUGCAAGGUACAGUAGAUUUUCCGCAUCAAAGCAGCUCAAGUUGAUAUACAUUGAUGAACAGCAUUCAAGGCUCGAGUACAUGUGCUCCUACUCUCCAAGCAGGGUGCAGAUUCAACCGCAAUCUCCAUUCUCAAAUGUGUGUUUUUCUAGCUCUUCUACACACGGGUGCUGUAAUAGAAUUGGAUCUAGACAGGACCCAAGUUUUCAGUCCUGUAUGCUCGCAAGAUUUUCGAAGAGCAACCACUUCUUUAUUUGAGCUGUGACUGUUUUAAGACCUCAUAUCUCUCUUCUUCUUACUUUUUUGUGUUCUGCAGUGAGAUUGAAUGGGUAGUUAACGGAAACAUGGUGUAGAAUAAUCACCAAAUAAGAGAAACACCGACGAUUUCUAGAAUAAUUCUCUGGUGAGAUGGCUCACCAGUGAACACAUGCACCCAGUUAGCAUCUGAACACAUGGACAGAUUUUUAGGCUUAUAUAUCGAACUGGGAUACAACCCAUCUCUUUUCUCUUU
Non-coding RNA from Physcomitrium patens, 4889 nucleotides. The record is from RefSeq and is a predicted model, not a curated record. Lineage: Eukaryota; Viridiplantae; Streptophyta; Bryopsida; Funariales; Funariaceae.